Non-coding RNA from Podarcis muralis (Common wall lizard), 86 nucleotides. Ensembl annotates it as small Cajal body-specific RNA 18. The record is from Ensembl. Lineage: Eukaryota; Metazoa; Chordata; Lepidosauria; Squamata; Lacertidae.
UGGUCUGUGAUGAAUAGCCCACUGCGCAAUCUGAGUUCUGUGGAACUGAAUGAUGGAAUUUGUGCUAACAAAGGCAUCUGAGACCA